RNAcentral lists this microRNA (19 nucleotides) under Corchorus capsularis. RNAcentral's name for it is "sRNA CCACVL1_29431". Lineage: Eukaryota; Viridiplantae; Streptophyta; Magnoliopsida; Malvales; Malvaceae. The record is from RNAcentral.
CAGCAGCCGCCGCCGCCUU